AGGAAAUACCAGGCCGUGGCCAAUCGAGGGCCAGAUCAGACAGUUCAACAAAUGCUGUAACUAGCCAGGAGAAGUCAUCAAUGUGAGCUGGAGGGAGCAGGCCAGGCUUCCUGAAAGAAGAGGAUUUGAACUAGACUUUGACAGCGAGGACAAUUGAACCAGAGGCUAAUCACCAGAGAACAAAGAGAGCACUACAAAACAGGGUCUACCUUCAAGGAGCUUAAGACCAACUGGGAAAACAGCUAUGUACUAAAGAGUAUUACAUUCAUUUAUGGUCAUGUCCCAUAACGAGGAACUUUUCUGCGAUUAGAGAUAUCCAAGUGGACUAAAGUACUUAAAGCUUCAAAGAGGCAAAACCUGGAUCGAUCUUGAAGAAUGGUAAGAUUUACACAGUUGGAUGAGGACAUGCCAACCAUGAACAUGAUAUCCCGAGUGUACAACGAUGAGUAUCAGGACUGGCCCAUGAAUUUAGGAAAGAAGUAAAUCAAAUCUAUAUCUAAAUGGAAGGCAUUAGAAAUAAAUCAGGAACCUGACUUAAGUGUUACCAGUUAACUGAGCAGAAGUCAAGGAUGAUAUCCGCCUCUUAUAAAACAUGAUUGUACCACGGUGAAAUGAUUGAUUAGCCUCUCUGGCUGA
Callorhinus ursinus (northern fur seal) is the source of this 636-nucleotide long non-coding RNA. RefSeq lists it as uncharacterized. The record is from RefSeq and is a predicted model, not a curated record. NCBI's taxonomy places the organism in Eukaryota, Metazoa, Chordata, Mammalia, Carnivora, Otariidae.